UACGGAGGGUGCAAGCGUUAUCCGGAUUUAUUGGGUUUAAAGGGUGCGUAGGCGGCAAUAUAAGUCAGUGGUGAAAUCCUGCAGCUCAACUGUAGAACAGCCAUUGAAACUGUAUUACUUGAGUAAUCUUGAGGUAGGCGGAAUGUGUAGUGUAGCGGUGAAAUGCUUAGAUAUUACACAGAACACCGAUUGCGAAGGCAGCUUACUAAGGAUUUACUGACGCUGAUGCACGAAAGCGUGGGGAUCAAACAGGAUUAGAUACCCUGGUAGUCCACGCCGUAAACGAUGAUAACUCGCUGUUGGCGAUACACAGUCAGCGGCUUAGCGAAAGCGUUAAGUUAUCCACCUGGGGAGUACGCUCGCAAGAGUG
Molecule: ribosomal RNA, 370 nt
Filed under: uncultured prokaryote
Description: bacterial SSU rRNA
Rfam family: Bacterial small subunit ribosomal RNA
Source: RNAcentral